RNAcentral lists this ribosomal RNA (253 nucleotides) under uncultured bacterium. RNAcentral describes it as "partial 16S ribosomal RNA". It matches the Rfam family "Bacterial small subunit ribosomal RNA", at positions 524 to 776 of the family's 1533-position model. The record is from RNAcentral.
CACGUAGGAUCCGAGCGUUAUCCGAAUUUACUGGGCGUAAAGCGCGUGUAGGCGGUUUAGUAAGUUGGAUGUGAAAGCUCCUGGCUCAACUGGGAGAGGCCGUUCAAAACUACUAAACUAGAGGACGGUAGAGGGAGGUGGAAUUCCCGGUGUAGUAGUGAAAUGCGUAGAUAUCGGGAGGAACACCAGUGGCGAAGGCGGCCUCCUGGACCGUUCCUGACGCUCAGACGCGAAAGCUAGGGGAGCGAACGGG